This is a long non-coding RNA of Lytechinus pictus (painted urchin), 239 nucleotides long. RefSeq lists it as uncharacterized. The transcript has 2 exons. NCBI's taxonomy places the organism in Eukaryota, Metazoa, Echinodermata, Echinoidea, Temnopleuroida, Toxopneustidae. The record is from RefSeq and is a predicted model, not a curated record.
AUGAGUUGGAGUUAUGAUUAUCUUAUGGUUAUGAUUGUUGCUUUCUUUAAUUAUAGCUGGUCCGACUCAUUUGAUCCUCAUCGAGAUUUUGAUAAUGUAGAAGCUGCUACUCCUUUGUGGUAUCCUGGGUGAUGUAGGUGGUGUGUAACCACCAGUAGCCUCUGACUUUGGGGUUGUUGUUUUGUUACUCCUUUCAUUUUGUUGGUUUUGGCAAACCUCAAUAAAGUCGAAGAAGCUCA